This is an RNA transcript of Folsomia candida, 3167 nucleotides long. It is a transcript of the gene named prolyl endopeptidase, with no coding region annotated. The transcript has 16 exons. Lineage: Eukaryota; Metazoa; Arthropoda; Collembola; Entomobryomorpha; Isotomidae. The record is from RefSeq and is a predicted model, not a curated record.
GCAAUUUGCAUGUCGGAUUAAUAAUUGUAUAGAGCAAUGUUGUUACUAUCCAGUCCAGUCGCUACACUCUAAAAUUAUUAUCCAAUCCAUGAAUCAAGAAUAUAUAAAUAAUAUGCAAACUCCAGUAUCCAAUUCAGAUCGCUGGAAAAUGGAGUACCCUCAAGUCAGAAGAGACGAAUCUAUGAUUGAUUGUUACUAUGGAAACGUCCACGUUCCAGAUCCAUAUCGUUGGAUGGAAAAUUCAGAAUCCGACGAGGUAAAGAAAUUCGUGGAAGCGCAAAACCAACUUACACGAAAUUAUGUUGAAACGCAAAUCCGUUCCGAAAUUGAAAAAGCAUUAACCAUAGCGUUUGACUAUGCGAGAAUUACUACCCCAGAGAAGCAUGGCGAUCGGUAUUUCUUCUUUAAAAAUACCGGAACUCAAGAUCAAGACGUGUGGUAUGUCCAAGAUUCAUUAAGUUCGGAACCACGCGUAUUCUUGGACCCGAACGCGACAUAUCAAGAUGGAUUGGUCGGUGUGUAUACCAGCAGCUUUUCUCCGGAUGGGUGUCUUGUUGCGUAUGGACUCAGUUAUGGUGGGAGUGACUGGUUAAAAGUUCACGUUAAAAAUGUGGAUACUGGUGUAGACUUUGAAGAAGUUUUGGAACAAAUAAAGUUCACUCGGUUCCAGUGGACGUUGGACAGCCUUGGAUUCUUUUAUGCACGAUAUCCAGACUACAACGGAGCAGAUGGGGAUAAAGGAUUGCACAGGAUUUAUUAUCAUCGCGUAGGAUCGCCUCAGCACGAAGACGUGAUAGUUGCUGAUUUUCCAGAUAACCCAGAUUGGAUCUUGGGAGGAAUUAAUGUGACAGGAGAUGGAAAGUACCUGUUGGUAUUUCCAUCCAUAGGAAUUUUAGGAGCGCAGGGUGACACAAUGUUUUAUUAUGGUGACCUCAGCGAUGGAUCAUUUUCGGGAAAAGAUAAGCUUAAUUUGGUCCCAGUCAUAACAAAGUUCGAGGCAGAGUACCAUUAUGUGGCUAAUGAUGGACCACUAAUCUACUUGAGAACGAACAAGGCAGCUCCCAACUAUCGCAUAGUAGGGAUUGACGUUACAAAUGUGGACGAGUCAUCUUGGAUGGUUCUCGUUCGUGAGGAAUCUCAUCGAGUCCUUCAGUUUGCUUUCGCCAUUAUGAAGGACAAAGUAGUUUUAGGCUAUUUAGAAGAUUGCAGAAGCAAAUUGGAACUAAGAAAUAUGCAGGAUGGGAACACGGUUUUGAGGAGCUUUGAUAAUGACAUAGAAAUUGGAUCCAUUUGGACAUUUAGUGGGAAGCGUAGCCAAGACGAAUUCUUCUUUAAGUUGGAAUCAUUUCUUAUUCCGGGAAAAGUGUAUCAUGUAGAUUUAACCACGGCUGAUCCAAAACUAAGUGUACACCAAGAAGUUGUUGCUGCUGGUGUAAAAGAGUCAAACCUUGUUGUCAAUCAAGUUUUUUACUUUAGUAAAGACGGGACCAAAGUUCCAAUGUUUAUCAUGCACAAAAAGGACUAUGCGCAUAAUAUUAACUCUCCAACUUACCUGUACGGGUAUGGAGGACUUAAUGUUAGCAUGUUACCGUGGUUCAGUGCGGAAAGGGUUGUAUUUGUGUCUAGUUUUGAUGGAGUGUAUGCUAUUCCAAAUAUUCGAGGGGGCGGGUUAGAACAGAUCGCCAAUUUUUACAAUUGUUUACGGGUUGAUAAUUAUUUAAUUUUUUGCAGGGAAUAUGGUGAAGCUUGGCACCGGGGAGGAUGCCUUUUAAAUAAGCAAAAUUCAUUUAAUGAUUUCCAAUGUGCAGCGGAAUACUUGAUCGAGAAGAAAUAUACGGUCCCGUCAAAGCUGGUAAUUAAUGGCGAUUCCAAUGGAGGUUUUCUAGUGGGAGCGUGUAUUAACCAACGACCAGACUUGUUUGGGGCCGCAAUUGCAGGAUGUGGUCCAUUGGAUAUGCUCCGAUACCACAAGUUGGGCACGAUGGGGGCAACAGCUUCGACAGAAUUUGGAUGCUCGGAUGACGGGAAUAUAGAUAAUUUUAAUAAUCUAUUCCGUCUCUCUCCACUUCACAAUAUAAAGAUGCCUGAAGAUGAAAAUACCCAGUAUCCAGCAGUUUUUCUUAUGACUGGUGGGAAUGAUGACACAGUUGUCCCCGCCCAUUCGUGCAAACAUGCGGCUGAGAUGCAAUUCAAGAUCGGAAACCAUACAAGACAAAAAACCUCACAAAUCCGAAAAUGCAGUUGACGAUAGAAACGGAAGACUAAACAUCUCUGUAUCCACUGAUCCGACAGAUCUAAAAACAAAAAGUUUUGGUCAGAAGGCAUAGAGAAGUCAGCUAAAAACACUUUUAAGCCAAUAAAAAUUUGUAAACCGGUUAAAAUUUGCAGAAGUAGUCGAAAAAAGAGGGUUUUUAACCCCUGGAGUACUCGGGAGAUAGCCAAGUAUUCACUGAUGAUAGCCAUAUCGAAUUACGCGGACAAUGUAACCCACAAAAUUUGAGAUACAGGACGGAAGAAAGAAAGGAUGUACCACCAAUUGUAAGACCGAAACACGACAGCUAAAACAUGGUCGCUUGUGUUUUUUUUGUUAGUGGCAAUUGAAAACUACAUUUUGUUUCAACGAGUCAAAAAGUUAACGCAGCCAAUUAUCAACCAAAAAUUCUCCCCACAUAUUUCGAGGCCAUGGAUAUAAGUAUCGUUUCAAGUAGAAGGAACAAAGAUUCUCAAUAAGAUGAAGCUCCAGCACACGCGGCAAAGUCGACAAUGAAGCUGUGGGAUAGGAGAGUUGGAAUCGUGUAGGGCAGGGGGGUGUGGUCUGAAAACUCUCCGGAUUUGAACCCGAUCGAACACUUAUGGUCCGGACCAAAAGAUUCGGCUUACCAGGAACCUUAUCCAACAACAGUACAUGAAUUACAGGCCCGUUUCGAAGAAAAUUGGAAUUCACUUCCGGUUGAGCUUUUACAAAAACUCGCAAAAAGUUUUAAAACGAGAGUGGAAAAAAUGAUGAAAACUGAUGCCAGACAUACGACAUAUUGGGACAAACCCUAUUCUUCUUAAUGUGACACCAGGAGUCGGCCAUAGUUACGGUAAACCAACAAGGGUUUUGGUCUCGGAAUUUGCAGAUAUCUAUAGUUUCUUGGUGCAAGCGUUGGGAUUUGAGUUCAAAC